GACGAACGCUGGCGGCGUGCUUAACACAUGCAAGUCGAACGAAGAGCGAUGGAAGCUUGCUUCUAUCAAUCUUAGUGGCGAACGGGUGAGUAACGCGUAAUCAACCUGCCCUUCAGAGGGGGACAACAGUUGGAAACGACUGCUAAUACCGCAUACGAUCUAAUCUCGGCAUCGAGGAUAGAUGAAAGGUGGCCUCUACAUGUAAGCUAUCACUGAAGGAGGGGAUUGCGUCUGAUUAGCUAGUUGGAGGGGUAACGGCCCACCAAGGCGAUGAUCAGUAGCCGGUCUGAGAGGAUGAACGGCCACAGUGGGACUGAGACACGGCCCAGACUCCUACGGGAGGCAGCAGUGGGGAAUCUUCCGCAAUGGACGAAGGUCUGACGGAGCAACGCCGCGUGAGUGAUGACGGCCUUCGGGUUGUAAAGCUCUGUUAAUCGGGACGAAAGGCCUUCUUGCGAACAGUUAGAAGGAUUGACGGUACCGGAAUAGAAAGCCACGGCUAACUACGUG
This 510-nucleotide ribosomal RNA is filed under the name uncultured bacterium. RNAcentral describes it as "partial 16S ribosomal RNA". It matches the Rfam family "Bacterial small subunit ribosomal RNA", at positions 28 to 507 of the family's 1533-position model. The record is from RNAcentral.